RNAcentral lists this ribosomal RNA (652 nucleotides) under uncultured prokaryote. RNAcentral describes it as "bacterial SSU rRNA". It matches the Rfam family "Bacterial small subunit ribosomal RNA", at positions 28 to 672 of the family's 1533-position model. The record is from RNAcentral.
GAUGAACGCUAGCGACAGGCCUAACACAUGCAAGUCGAGGGGCAGCACAAGGUAGCAAUACUGAGGUGGCGACCGGCGCACGGGUGAGUAACGCGUAUGCAACCUGCCUGUAACAGGGGAAUAGCCUCUUGAAAGAGAGAUUAAUGCCGCAUAAUACGAGAUUCGGGCAUCCGGAUUUAGUUAAACAUUUAUGGGUUACAGAUGGGCAUGCGUUUCAUUAGGUAGUUGGUGAGGUAACGGCUCACCAAGCCGACGAUGAAUAGGGGUUCUGAGAGGAAGGUCCCCCACACUGGUACUGAGACACGGACCAGACUCCUACGGGAGGCAGCAGUGAGGAAUAUUGGUCAAUGGACGCAAGUCUGAACCAGCCAAGUCGCGUGAAGGAUGAAGGUAUUAUGUAUUGUAAACUUCUUUUGUCAGGGAAUAAUGGGUGUCACGUGUGACGCAGAGGAAUGUACCUGACGAAUAAGCAUCGGCUAACUCCGUGCCAGCAGCCGCGGUAAUACGGAGGAUGCGAGCGUUAUCCGGAUUUAUUGGGUUUAAAGGGUGCGUAGGCGGUUUGUUAAGUCAGUGGUGAAAGUUUGCGGCUCAACCGUAAAAUUGCCAUUGAAACUGGCGAACUUGAGUACAGUAGAGGUAGGCGGAAUUCGUG